GGUCAAGUGAAGAAGCGCAUACGGUGGAUGCCUUGGCAGUCAGAGGCGAUGAAAGACGUGGUAGCCUGCGAAAAGCUUCGGGGAGUCGGCAAACAGACUUUGAUCCGGAGAUCUCUGAAUGGGGGAACCCACCUAGGAUAACCUAGGUAUCUUGUACUGAAUCCAUAGGUGCAAGAGGCGAACCAGGGGAACUGAAACAUCUAAGUACCCUGAGGAAAAGAAAUCAACCGAGAUUCCCUUAGUAGUGGCGAGCGAACGGGGAUUAGCCCUUAAGCUUCAUUGAUUUUAGCGGAACGCUCUGGAAAGUGCGGCCAUAGUGGGUGAUAGCCCCGUACGCGAAAGGAUCUUUGAAGUGAAAUCGAGUAGGACGGAGCACGAGAAAC
Molecule: ribosomal RNA, 383 nt
Filed under: Pseudomonas aeruginosa
Lineage: Bacteria; Pseudomonadati; Pseudomonadota; Gammaproteobacteria; Pseudomonadales; Pseudomonadaceae
Also listed under: 2 other names
Description: partial 23S ribosomal RNA
Rfam family: Bacterial large subunit ribosomal RNA
Source: RNAcentral